RNAcentral lists this small RNA (305 nucleotides) under Marmota monax (woodchuck). The record is from RNAcentral. Lineage: Eukaryota; Metazoa; Chordata; Mammalia; Rodentia; Sciuridae.
GCUGGGUGUGGGGGUGCACACCUGUCAUCCCAGCAGCUUGGGAGGCUGAAGUGGGAGGAUGGCUAGUUGGAGGCCAGCCUCAGCAACUUAGCAAGGCCAUAAGCAACUCAGGGAGUCCUUGUCUCUAAAUAAAAUAUAAAAAGGGCUGGGGAUGGGGCUCGGGGUUAAGCAUCUCUGAGUUAGAUCCCUGGUAGCCCCCCCUAAAAAAAAGGAUUUCUCAGUCUUUCCUCUGUUUUGGGGGACAGCCUUGCAGUGCAGGUUGCUUGGCAGCAUUGCUGGCCUCUAACACUAGAGUCCCCCCACCA